CCAAUAGCGUAUAUUAAAGUUGUUGCAGUUAAAAAGCUCGUAGUUGAAUUUCGGGAUUAGUACGUUGGUCGUGCCUUAGGUACGUACUGGUGUUACUGGUUCCUACCUUCUGACGAACCAUCAUGUCAUUAAUUUGGUGUGGCGGGGAAUCAGGACUGUUACUUUGAAAAAAUUAGAGUGUUUAAAGCAGGCUCGCGCUUGAAUACAUUA
This 210-nucleotide ribosomal RNA is filed under the name uncultured Glomus. Its description in RNAcentral is "partial small subunit ribosomal RNA". It matches the Rfam family "Eukaryotic small subunit ribosomal RNA", at positions 591 to 806 of the family's 1831-position model. The record is from RNAcentral. Lineage: Eukaryota; Fungi; Glomeromycota; Glomeromycetes; Glomerales; Glomeraceae.